RNAcentral lists this ribosomal RNA (433 nucleotides) under uncultured bacterium. Its description in RNAcentral is "partial 16S ribosomal RNA". It matches the Rfam family "Bacterial small subunit ribosomal RNA", at positions 29 to 507 of the family's 1533-position model. The record is from RNAcentral.
AACGAACGCUGGCGGCAUGCCUAACACAUGCAAGUCGAACGAGACCUUCGGGUCUAGUGGCGCACGGGUGCGUAACGCGUGGGAACCUGCCCUUAGGUUCGGACUAACUCCCCGAAAGGGGUGCUAAUACCGGAUAAUGUCUUCGGACCAAAGAUUUAUCGCCUUUGGAUGGGCCCGCGUUGGAUUAGCUAGUUGGUAGGGUAAAAGCCUACCAAGGCGACGAUCCAUAGCUGGUCUGAGAGGAUGAUCAGCCACACUGGGACUGAGACACGGCCCAGACUCCUACGGGAGGCAGCAGUGGGGAAUAUUGGAAAAUGGGCGAAAGCCUGAUCCAGCAAUGCCGCGUGAGUGAUGAAGGCCUUAGGGUUGUAAAGCUCUUUUAACCGGGAUGAUAAUGACAGUACCGGGAGAAUAAGCGCCGGCUAACUCCGUG